This 258-nucleotide ribosomal RNA is filed under the name uncultured bacterium. RNAcentral's name for it is "partial 16S ribosomal RNA". It matches the Rfam family "Bacterial small subunit ribosomal RNA", at positions 95 to 354 of the family's 1533-position model. The record is from RNAcentral.
CCGGCGCACGGGUGAGUAACACGUAUGCAACCUGCCCUCUUCAGGGGGACAACCUUCCGAAAGGGAGGCUAAUCCCGCGUAUAUCGGUUUCGGGCAUCCGAGAUCGAGGAAAGAUUCAUCGGAAGAGGAUGGGCAUGCGGCGCAUUAGCUAGACGGCGGGGUAACGGCCCACCGUGGCGACGAUGCGUAGGGGUUCUGAGAGGAAGGUCCCCCACACUGGUACUGAGACACGGAUCAGACUCCUACGGAAGGCAGCAG